This 756-nucleotide ribosomal RNA is filed under the name uncultured bacterium. Its description in RNAcentral is "bacterial SSU rRNA". It matches the Rfam family "Bacterial small subunit ribosomal RNA", at positions 625 to 1381 of the family's 1533-position model. The record is from RNAcentral.
UCUGGAAACUNUCUGACUUGAGUGCAGAAGGGGAGAGUGGAAUUCCAUGUGUAGCGGUGAAAUGCGUAGAUAUAUGGAGGANCACCAGUGGCGAAAGCGGCUCUCUGNUCUGUCACUGACGCUGAGGCUNGAAAGCGUGGGUAGCGAACAGGAUUAGAUACCCUGGUAGUCCACGCCGUAAACGAUGAGUGCUAGGUGUUAGGCCCUUUCCGGGGCUUAGUGCCGGAGCUAACGCAAUAAGCACUCCGCCUGGGGAGUACGACCGCAAGGUUGAAACUCAAAGGAAUUGACGGGGGCCCGCACAAGCGGUGGAGCAUGUGGUUUAAUUCGAAGCAACGCGAAGAACCUUACCAGGUCUUGACAUCCCGAUGCUAUUCUUAGAGAUAGGAAGUUACUUCGGUACAUCGGAGACAGGUGGUGCAUGGUUGUCGUCAGCUCGUGUCGUGAGAUGUUGGGUUAANNNNNGCAACGAGCGCAACCCUUAUUGUUAGUUGCCAUCAUUAAGUUGGGCACUCUAGCGAGACUGCCGGUAAUAAACCGGAGGAAGGUGGGGAUGACGUCAAAUCAUCAUGCCCCUUAUGACCUGGGCUACACACGUGCUACAAUGGUCGGUACAACGAGUUGCGAGCCGGUGACGGCAAGCUAAUCUCUGAAAGCCGAUCUCAGUUCGGAUUGGAGGCUGCAACUCGCCUCCAUGAAGUCGGAAUCGCUAGUAAUCGCGGAUCAGCACGCCGCGGUGAAUACGUUCCCGGGCCU